GGUGUGGCUCAGUUUGGCUAGAGCGCCUGGUUUGGGACCAGGAGGUCGCAGGUUCAAAUCCUGUCACC
Molecule: transfer RNA, 68 nt
Filed under: bovine gut metagenome
Also listed under: 1 other name
Rfam family: tRNA
About the family: Transfer RNA (tRNA) molecules are approximately 80 nucleotides in length. Their secondary structure includes four short double-helical elements and three loops (D, anti-codon, and T loops). Further hydrogen bonds mediate the characteristic L-shaped molecular structure. tRNAs have two regions of fundamental functional importance: the anti-codon, which is responsible for specific mRNA codon recognition, and the 3' end, to which the tRNAs corresponding amino acid is attached (by aminoacyl-tRNA synthetases). tRNAs cope with the degeneracy of the genetic code in two manners: having more than one tRNA (with a specific anti-codon) for a particular amino acid; and 'wobble' base-pairing, i.e. permitting non-standard base-pairing at the 3rd anti-codon position.
Source: RNAcentral